Molecule: ribosomal RNA, 494 nt
Filed under: uncultured bacterium
Lineage: Bacteria
Description: bacterial SSU rRNA
Rfam family: Bacterial small subunit ribosomal RNA
Source: RNAcentral
CGCUAGCUACAGGCUUAACACAUGCAAGUCGAGGGGCAGCAUUAGAAUUAGCUUGCUAAUUAGAUGGCGACCGGCGCACGGGUGAGUAACGCGUAUCCAACCUUCCCCCUGCUCAGGGAUAGCCCGGUGAAAACCGGAUUAAGACCUGAUAGUUUCACUAGAUGGCAUCUGACGGUGAAUAAAGGUUUCGGCAAGGGAUGGGGAUGCGUCUGAUUAGCUUGUUGGCGGGGUAACGGCCCACCAAGGCGACGAUCAGUAGGGGUUCUGAGAGGAAGGUCCCCCACAUCGGAACUGAGACACGGUCCAAACUCCUACGGGAGGCAGCAGUGAGGAAUAUUGGUCAAUGGGCGGAAGCCUGAACCAGCCAAGUAGCGUGCCAGGAAGACGGCCCUAUGGGUUGUAAACUGCUUUUGUGCGGGAAUAAAGUCAGGGACGCGUCCCUGUUUGCAUGUACCGCAAGAAUAAGGACCGGCUAAUUCCGUGCCAGCAGCUGC